This 585-nucleotide ribosomal RNA is filed under the name uncultured Gammaproteobacteria bacterium. RNAcentral describes it as "bacterial SSU rRNA". It matches the Rfam family "Bacterial small subunit ribosomal RNA", at positions 338 to 916 of the family's 1533-position model. Lineage: Bacteria; Pseudomonadati; Pseudomonadota; Gammaproteobacteria. The record is from RNAcentral.
CCUACGGGAGGCAGCAGUGGGGAAUCUUGGACAAUGGGGGCAACCCUGAUCCAGCGAUACCGCGUGUGUGAAGAAGGCCUGCGGGUUGUAAAGCACUUUUAGUGGCGAGAAAAGAUACUAGUUUAAGAGAUAAGUAUUUUGAUGUCAGCCACAGAAAAAGCACCGGCAAACUCUGUGCCAGCAGCCGCGGUAAUACAGAGGGUGCAAGCGUUAAUCGGAAUGACUGGGCGUAAAGGGCGUGUAGGCGGUUAAAUAAGUUAGUUGUGAAAUACCAGAGCUUAACUUUGGAAUGGCAACUAAAACUAUUUGGCUAGAAUGCAGCAGAGGUAAGGGGAAUUUCCGGUGUAGCGGUGAAAUGCGUAGAUAUCGGAAGGAAUACCAAUGGCGAAGGCAACUUACUGGGCUGUUAUUGACGCUGAGGCGCGAAAGCGUGGGGAGCAAACAGGAUUAGAUACCCUGGUAGUCCACGCUGUAAACGAUGAGUACUAGCUGUUUUGAUUUCGAUAUUAAAGUAGCGCAGCUAACGCAUUAAGUACUCCGCCUGGGGAUUACGACCGCAAGGUUAAAACUCAAAGGAAUUGACGG